RNAcentral lists this non-coding RNA (146 nucleotides) under Pan paniscus (pygmy chimpanzee). RNAcentral also lists the same sequence under 1 other name. The record is from Rfam by way of RNAcentral. Lineage: Eukaryota; Metazoa; Chordata; Mammalia; Primates; Hominidae.
GCCGGGUGUGGUGGCGUGCACCUGUAAUCCCAGCUACUCGGGAGGCUGAGGCACAAGAAUCACUUGAACCCAGGAGGUGGAGGUUGCAGUGAGCCGAGAUCACCCCACUGCUCCAGCCUGGGUGACAGAGUGAGACCCUGUCUCAA